GACGAACGCUGGCGGCGUGCUUAACACAUGCAAGUCGAACGGUGAAGCGCCUUCCUUUUUGGUGGGUGUGGAUGAGCGGCGAACGGGUGAGUAACACGUGAGUAACCUGCCCCCUUCUUCUGGAUAACCGCAUGAAAGUGUGGCUAAUACGGGAUAUUCUGGGUCUGUCGCAUGAUGGGUCUGGGAAAGAUAUUGUUUCGGUGGGGGAUGGGCUCGCGGCCUAUCAGCUUGUUGGUGGGGUGAUGGCCUACCAAGGCGGUGACGGGUAGCCGGCCUGAGAGGGUGGACGGUCACACUGGGACUGAGACACGGCCCAGACUACUACGGGAGGCAGCAGUGGGGAAUAUUGCACAAUGGGCGCAAGCCUGAUGCAGCGACGCCGCGUGAGGGAUGGAGGCCUUCGGGUUGUGAACCUCUUUCGCCAGUGAAGCAGGCCUGCCUCGUUUGUGGGUGGGUUGACGGUAGCUGGAUAAGAAGCGCCGGCUAACUACGUG
RNAcentral lists this ribosomal RNA (494 nucleotides) under uncultured bacterium. RNAcentral describes it as "partial 16S ribosomal RNA". It matches the Rfam family "Bacterial small subunit ribosomal RNA", at positions 28 to 507 of the family's 1533-position model. The record is from RNAcentral.